Molecule: non-coding RNA, 45 nt
Filed under: Schistosoma mansoni
Lineage: Eukaryota; Metazoa; Platyhelminthes; Trematoda; Strigeidida; Schistosomatidae
Source: RNAcentral
AUCCAGCUGACGAGUCCCGAAUAAGAUGAUUUGCGCGUCCUGGAU